Molecule: ribosomal RNA, 768 nt
Filed under: uncultured euryarchaeote
Lineage: Archaea; Methanobacteriati; Methanobacteriota
Description: bacterial SSU rRNA
Rfam family: Archaeal small subunit ribosomal RNA (bases 1-483)
Source: RNAcentral
GGUAAUACCGGCAGCUCGAGUGGUCGUCGCUUUUAUUGGGCCUAAAACGUCCGUAGCCUGUUUGGUAAAUCUGUGGGUAAAUCAACGAGCUCAACUCGUUGAAUUCUGCAGAGACUGCCAGACUAGGGACCGGGAGAGGUAUGAGGUACUCUGGGGGUAGGGGUAAAAUCCUGUCAUCCUCAGAGGACCACCUGUUGCGAAGGCGUCAUACUGGAACGGAUCCGACGGUCAGGGACGAAGCCUAGGGGCACGAACCGGAUUAGAUACCCGGGUAGUCCUAGGUGUAAACGCUGUGGAUUUGGUGUGUGGGGUCCGCAAUGGGCCCCAUGUGCCGGAGUGAAGAUGUUAAAUCCACUGCCUGGGGAGUACGGUCGCAAGGGCUGAGGUAAUACCGGCAGCUCGAGUGGUCGUCGCUUUUAUUGGGCCUAAAACGUCCGUAGCCUGUUUGGUAAAUCUGUGGGUAAAUCAACGAGCUCAACUCGUUGAAUUCUGCAGAGACUGCCAGACUAGGGACCGGGAGAGGUAUGAGGUACUCUGGGGGUAGGGGUAAAAUCCUGUCAUCCUCAGAGGACCACCUGUUGCGAAGGCGUCAUACUGGAACGGAUCCGACGGUCAGGGACGAAGCCUAGGGGCACGAACCGGAUUAGAUACCCGGGUAGUCCUAGGUGUAAACGCUGUGGAUUUGGUGUGUGGGGUCCGCAAUGGGCCCCAUGUGCCGGAGUGAAGAUGUUAAAUCCACUGCCUGGGGAGUACGGUCGCAAGGGCUGA